This 280-nucleotide ribosomal RNA is filed under the name uncultured prokaryote. RNAcentral's name for it is "partial 16S ribosomal RNA". It matches the Rfam family "Bacterial small subunit ribosomal RNA", at positions 524 to 803 of the family's 1533-position model. The record is from RNAcentral.
UACGUAGGGGCUAGCGUUAUCCGGAAUUACUGGGCGUAAAGGGUGCGUAGGUGGUUUCUUAAGUCAGAGGUGAAAGGCUACGGCUCAACCGUAGUAAGCCUUUGAAACUGGGAAACUUGAGUGCAGGAGAGGAGAGUGGAAUUCCUAGUGUAGUGGUGAAAUGCGUAGAUAUUAGGAGGAACACCAGUUGCGAAGGCGGCCCUCUGGACUGUAACUGACACUGAGGCACGAAAGCGUGGGGAGCAAACAGGAUUAGAUACCCUGGUAGUCCCUGAGCGGG